RNAcentral lists this ribosomal RNA (603 nucleotides) under Cicindela craveri. Its description in RNAcentral is "partial 16S ribosomal RNA". It matches the Rfam family "Bacterial large subunit ribosomal RNA", at positions 1844 to 2723 of the family's 2925-position model. Lineage: Eukaryota; Metazoa; Arthropoda; Insecta; Coleoptera; Carabidae. The record is from RNAcentral.
UUUAAGGUCUAGCCUGCCCAAUGAGAAUUUAAAUGGCCGCAGUAUUUUGACUGUGCAAAGGUAGCAUAAUUAUUAGUUUUUUAAUUGAAAGCUUGUAUGAAUGGUUGGACGAGAUAAAAUCUGUCUUUAUUUAAAUUAAAAUGGAAUUUAACUUUUAAGUCAAAAGGCUUAAAUUUUUAUAAAAGACGAGAAGACCCUAUAGAUCUUUAUUUGAUUAAUAUUUUGAUAAUUUAGGAUUAUUUUAAUUCAAAGUUUUAAUUAAAUUUUAUUGGGGUAAUAUAAAGAUUAAAUAAAUUCUUUUUAUUAAUUACAUUAAUUUAUGAAUAUAUGAUCCAAUAUUAUUGAUUAUAAGAUUAAGUUACCUUAGGGAUAACAGCGUAAUUUUUUUGGAGAGCUCAUAUCGAUAAAAAAGUUUGCGACCUCGAUGUUGGAUUAAAAAUUAUUUUGGGUGCAGAAGCUCAAAAUUUUGGUCUGUUCGACCAUUAAAUUUUUACAUGAUCUGAGUUCAGACCGGCGUAAGCCAGGUCGGUUUCUAUCUUUAUUUAAUUAAAAUAUUUUAGUACGAAAGGACCAAAUAUUUAAUAUAAUAAUAUUUAUUUUUUG